GGGUCAUAGCUCAGGUAGAACAUCUGCUUUUCAUGCAUAAAGUCCCAGAUUCAAUCCCUGGCAUCUCCA
Podarcis lilfordi (Lilford's wall lizard) is the source of this 69-nucleotide non-coding RNA. The record is from the annotation of a GenBank genome assembly. Lineage: Eukaryota; Metazoa; Chordata; Lepidosauria; Squamata; Lacertidae.